CGGGUUGUGUGGGUUGGCGGGCUCCGUGCUUCGGCAUCGAACCGUCCGCGCACGCACCACGUCAGUGACGCAGCAAGACUUUCUUGCGCUACAAGGAGAUUCCUGUAUUUGCUACCUACGCUUAAAGGAACGGUGCUGCUCGCUACCCUUUCCUUCCCCGAGCAUGCGCUCGCGGGGAGGACAUCGUAGCAGCGCCUGUGCCCCCUCGCAUCGAGCAUGCCGUAAGGCGCGCACGUUGCGACGGUUCUCGGGUUGCUGCUUGACGGUUCGGAUACGGAACAUUCGGUGGGCUUGGGUGUCUCGACACCUUUCGAUGUCCAAAUUCAAGCGUUUUGUCGCUAGACAUGUACGACUGCGACGCUCGCCGCGGGUCUCCCGUGCGGUGCGUGGCGUCGGCAAAGGAAUGCUACCUGGUU
Molecule: unclassified non-coding RNA, 416 nt
Filed under: Potentilla griffithii
Lineage: Eukaryota; Viridiplantae; Streptophyta; Magnoliopsida; Rosales; Rosaceae
Description: partial external transcribed spacer
Source: RNAcentral